UGGGGAAUUUUGGACAAUGGGCGCAAGCCUGAUCCAGCCAUGCCGCGUGCGGGAAGAAGGCCUUCGGGUUGUAAACCGCUUUUGUCAGGGAAGAAAUCUUCUGAGUUAAUACCUCGGGAGGAUGACGGUACCUGAAGAAUAAGCACCGGCUAACUACGUGCCAGCAGCCGCGGUAAUACGUAGGGUGCAAGCGUUAAUCGGAAUUACUGGGCGUAAAGCGUGCGCAGGCGGUUUUGUAAGACAGAGGUGAAAUCCCCGGGCUCAACCUGGGAACUGCCUUUGUGACUGCAAGGCUUGAGUGCGGCAGAGGGGGGAUGGAAUUCCGCGUGUAGCAGUGAAAUGCGUAGAUAUGCGGAGGAACACCGAUGGCGAAGGCAAUCCCCUGGGCCUGCACUGACGCUCAUGCACGAAAGCGUGGGGAGCAAACAGGAUUAGAUAGCCCUGGUAGUCCACGCCCUAAAACGAUGUCAACUGGUUGUUGGGAAGGUUCCUUCUCAGUAACGUAGCUAACGCGUGAAGUUGACCGCCUGGGGAGUACGGCCGCAAGGUUGAAACUCAAAGGAAUUGACGGGGUCAUAGCUGUUUCCU
Molecule: ribosomal RNA, 588 nt
Filed under: uncultured bacterium
Lineage: Bacteria
Description: partial 16S ribosomal RNA
Rfam family: Bacterial small subunit ribosomal RNA
Source: RNAcentral